This 421-nucleotide ribosomal RNA is filed under the name uncultured bacterium. RNAcentral describes it as "partial 16S ribosomal RNA". It matches the Rfam family "Bacterial small subunit ribosomal RNA", at positions 360 to 773 of the family's 1533-position model. The record is from RNAcentral.
AAUAUUGGACAAUGGGGGAAACCCUGACCCAGCCAUGCCGCGUGUGUGAAGAAGGCCUUCGGUUUUUAAAGCACUUUAAGUUGGGAGGAUGGGUUUUUGGUUAUUCCCCUGAAUUUUUCACGUUACCAACAGAUAAAGCCCGGGCUAACUCUUUGCCAGCAGCCGCGGUAAUACAGAGGGUGCAAGCGUUAAUCGGAAUUACUGGGCGUAAAGCGCGCGUAGGUGGUUCAGUAAGAUGGGUGUGAAAUCCCCGGGCUUAACCUGGGAACUGCUUUCAUAACUGCUGAGCUAGAGUACGGUAGAGGGUAGUGGAAUUUCCUGUGUAGCGGUGAAAUGCGUAGAUAUAGGAAGGAACACCAGUGGCGAAGGCGACUACCUGGACUGAUACUGACACUGAGGUGCGAAAGCGUGGGGAGCAAAC